GCGAAGCUCGGGCGAGGGGCGGAGGUAAGACUGUGGGUGCAAGGGUGGUGCGGAAGUGUGGGGCGUAAAGGGUAGGUAGGUGGUGUUAUUGGUUUGGGGUGAAAGCCUGGAGCUUAACUCAAGAAGGUCCCCAGAAACGGGGAGACUAGAGUCUUGGAGAGGGGCGUGGAAUUCCCGGUGUAGCGGUGAAAUGCGUAGAGAUCGGGAGGAACACCAGAGGCGAAAGCGGCGACCUGGACAAGAACUGACACUCAACUACGAAAGCGUGGGGAGCAAACAGGAUUAGAUACCCCUGUAGUC
RNAcentral lists this ribosomal RNA (300 nucleotides) under uncultured Desulfurococcus sp. Its description in RNAcentral is "bacterial SSU rRNA". The stretch from base 61 to 300 matches the Rfam family "Bacterial small subunit ribosomal RNA", at positions 556 to 795 of the family's 1533-position model. The record is from RNAcentral. Lineage: Archaea; Thermoproteati; Thermoproteota; Thermoprotei; Desulfurococcales; Desulfurococcaceae.